ACGCUCGACACCUACGGGGAGGCAGCAGGUCGGGAAUAUUGCGCAAUGGAGGAAACUCUGACGCAGUGACGCCGCGUAUAGGAAGUAAGGUUUUCGGAUUGUAAACUAUUGUCGUUAGGGAAAGAAAAAGACAGUACCUAAGGAGGAAGCUCCGGCUAACUACGUGCCAGCAGCAGGCGGUAAUCUGAGGCGGGCUGGCAAGGC
This 204-nucleotide ribosomal RNA is filed under the name uncultured bacterium. Its description in RNAcentral is "partial 16S ribosomal RNA". It matches the Rfam family "Bacterial small subunit ribosomal RNA", at positions 328 to 539 of the family's 1533-position model. The record is from RNAcentral.